RNAcentral lists this long non-coding RNA (453 nucleotides) under Phasianus colchicus (ring-necked pheasant). RNAcentral's name for it is "lncRNA (ENSPCLG00000021878.1)". The record is from RNAcentral. Lineage: Eukaryota; Metazoa; Chordata; Aves; Galliformes; Phasianidae.
UCUGCAUCUGGUUUUACCUAUGUGAAAAUACCUCUUAUACUAAAAGCUUCACUAUUUCUGUGCUUUAGAAAAGAGAUUAGAGUUUUGCUAAGAGAGCCAUUCUGGUUUCAGAAAGCUGCUUUUGAUGACCCUAGUUUUUGCUGAAUCAUAAGCUUCUGAAAAUCAGAGAAACACACUUCAUUACAGUUCAGCAAUUAACUUGUCUUAUUCUGUUUAUAAGAAGUCAUAUGUAGGGUUUGACUGCAUGGGUUGAGCCAGACUUACCCCUCUUACUUCUCCUUCAAAGCCAGAGAACGCUGCAGAUAGAGAGAUUCAUAUGCUUUCAGUGAUCUUCCUCCUUCUCUCCCUAGGUUGGGGAAGCAGAAGGAUGAGGAGCCAGGCCUGAAGGGACUGUUAAAGAGUGAUAUAUGUACCCUGGGAAAGUCUAGCAAGCAUUACCAGUGUGUGUGUGUG